GCUCGUAGUUGAACCUUGGGUCUGGCUGGCCGGUCCGCCUCACCGCGAGUACUGGUCCGGCUGGACCUUUCCUUCUGGGGAACCUCAUGGCCUUCACUGGCUGUGGGGGGAACCAGGACUUUUACUGUGAAAAAAUUAGAGUGUUCAAAGCAGGCCUUUGCUCGAAUACAUUAGCAUGGAAUAAUAGAAUAGGACGUGCGGUUCUAUUUUGUUGGUUUCUAGGACCGCCGUAAUGAUUAAUAGGGAUAGUCGGGGGCGUCAGUAUUCAGCUGUCAGAGGUGAAAUUCUUGGAUUUGCUGAAGACUAACUACUGCGAAAGCAUUCGCCAAGGAUGUUUUCAUUAAUCAGGGAACGAAAGUUAGGGGAUCGAAGACGAUCAGAUACCGUCGUAGUCUUAACCAUAAACUAUGCCGACUAGGGAUCGGGCGGUGUUUCUAUGAUGACCCGCUCGGCACCUUACGAGAAAUCAAAGUUUUUGGGUUCUGGGGGGAGUAUGGUCGCAAGGCUGAAACUUAAAGAAAUUGACGGAAGGGCACCACAAGGCGUGGAGCCUGCGGCUUAAUUU
RNAcentral lists this ribosomal RNA (565 nucleotides) under Aspergillus clavatus. RNAcentral describes it as "SSU rRNA". It matches the Rfam family "Eukaryotic small subunit ribosomal RNA", at positions 626 to 1196 of the family's 1831-position model. Lineage: Eukaryota; Fungi; Ascomycota; Eurotiomycetes; Eurotiales; Aspergillaceae. The record is from RNAcentral.